Molecule: long non-coding RNA, 305 nt
Filed under: Fukomys damarensis (Damara mole-rat)
Lineage: Eukaryota; Metazoa; Chordata; Mammalia; Rodentia; Bathyergidae
Description: lncRNA (ENSFDAG00000025241.1)
Source: RNAcentral
GUGGCGCUGAGCCCUGAAGCCGCCGCAUCUCAGACUUCGGAAAGACCUUCCGUGCCAGGCGCUGCCCUUUCCUGCAGAUCCUUCUCCCUGUGCCGCACAUUCCAGGGUGAGUUUCCAGCAUCGUCUGGCCUGGCUGUGUUCUCGUGUUGUACACUCAGUCUUCAUUAUCUCGGUUGCAUCCAGGAUUCAACAACCGUCCAAGUGCUGGCUCCUGUGUUUUUUGUCUUCAAUCAUUCCUGGAAUAAAACUUACAAUCACAUAUAGAAAUGUAUUCUGGGUCACCCACAAUUUUUCCAGAAUAAAGC